Oncorhynchus tshawytscha (Chinook salmon) is the source of this 317-nucleotide long non-coding RNA. The record is from Ensembl. Lineage: Eukaryota; Metazoa; Chordata; Actinopteri; Salmoniformes; Salmonidae.
GAGACAGGGUGGAGACAGGGUGAGACAGGGGUGAGACAGGGUGGAGACAGGGUGAUACAGGGGUGAUACAGGGUGAUACAGGGUGGGGACAGUGAACUAUGUCAAACUCACUCUUCAUUUUUCAUUUUAUUUCCUCCACAUGUUCGUAGUCGAGGGGCCAGAGAAACUUAAUGACCAGUCAUAGAAACAGAGAAACCACAAAACCAGAAAAAGGAGUAUCUCAGUCCAACCAUUGUCCUGCAUCUCUCUCUGCCUCAGCAUCCCUGCCUCAGUCUGACUCUUUCUGUCUCUGCCUGAGUCCGUCUCUCAGCGUGUCG